Molecule: ribosomal RNA, 639 nt
Filed under: uncultured Akkermansia sp.
Lineage: Bacteria; Pseudomonadati; Verrucomicrobiota; Verrucomicrobiia; Verrucomicrobiales; Akkermansiaceae
Description: bacterial SSU rRNA
Rfam family: Bacterial small subunit ribosomal RNA
Source: RNAcentral
GAAUUCACUAGUGAUUUGGCGGCGUGGUUAAGACAUGCAAGUCGAACGAGAGAAUUGCUAGCUUGCUAAUAAUUCUCUAGUGGCGCACGGGUGAGUAACACGUGAGUAACCUGCCCCCGAGAGCGGGAUAGCCCUGGGAAACUGGGAUUAAUACCGCAUAGUAUCGAAAGAUUAAAGCAGCAAUGCGCUUGGGGAUGGGCUCGCGGCCUAUUAGUUAGUUGGUGAGGUAACGGCUCACCAAGGCGAUGACGGGUAGCCGGUCUGAGAGGAUGUCCGGCCACACUGGAACUGAGACACGGUCCAGACACCUACGGGUGGCAGCAGUCGAGAAUCAUUCACAAUGGGGGAAACCCUGAUGGUGCGACGCCGCGUGGGGGAAUGAAGGUCUUCGGAUUGUAAACCCCUGUCAUGUGGGAGCAAAUUAAAAAGAUAGUACCACAAGAGGAAGAGACGGCUAACUCUGUGCCAGCAGCCGCGGUAAUACAGAGGUCUCAAGCGUUGUUCGGAAUCACUGGGCGUAAAGCGUGCGUAGGCUGUUUCGUAAGUCGUGUGUGAAAGGCGCGGGCUCAACCCGCGGACGGCACAUGAUACUGCGAGACUAGAGUAAUGGAGGGGGAACCGGAAUUCACGGUGUAGCAA